GCUGCCUGGGCGGCCGGGCCUGAGGUCGGCCGAGUAAGGCUUCCACGUGACUGCAGCUCGAGCUACCGGAAGUUAGCAGCGCCUCGGAAGAGAACUCUCCGCCCCUCUUGGAGCUUACGCUUUAGAGGGAGAAGGGGAAUAAAUAAUCCCAGAUGAUGUCAGGUGAUCACUAGGGAAGUCUAUUAGGAGGAAGAAAGUUUUUUCCCCCACUUCCUUUGGUAGAGGGGAAGAGGAAGUGUGACCCAGCAGGAGUCCAGGGAAUUCAGGACUAUGGAAUUUCAAACCAGAACCCUUUGGGCACCUCAAUCAAGGAUAGCACCUUGCAGAAUUCAGAGGUCUCCAUGUCAGCAAACUAUGGGAAUGCAAGAAAAGGAAAAUGGUCAGUGUACAAGGCCACCCCAAGUCCACAACACCCAACAAACACAGAAAUAAACAGCAAAAAAGGCAUCAACACUUACACGUGUGGGAUGGUUGUUUUGAAAAUGUCCAACAUGCAAUUGCACGUUUCAUCCCAGACAUCGGGACUGAAUUUCUCUCCAUUGGAAAUUACUAAGUUUUCUAAGCAAUUUGUACCUGAUCGAGCCAGCUGCUCAUUAUCUGCAAAAUAAAAUAACAUCUUUCA
Molecule: long non-coding RNA, 622 nt
Organism: Talpa occidentalis (Iberian mole)
Lineage: Eukaryota; Metazoa; Chordata; Mammalia; Eulipotyphla; Talpidae
Exons: 3
Source: RefSeq, a predicted model, not a curated record